Molecule: ribosomal RNA, 471 nt
Filed under: uncultured bacterium
Lineage: Bacteria
Description: partial 16S ribosomal RNA
Rfam family: Bacterial small subunit ribosomal RNA (bases 20-335)
Source: RNAcentral
AACGAACGCUGGCGGCAUGCCUAACACAUGCAAGUCGAACGAGACCUUCGGGUCUAGUGGCGCACGGGUGCGUAACGCGUGGGAACCUGCCCUUAGGUUCGGAAUAACUCCCCGAAAGGGGUGCUAAUACCGGAUAAUGUCUUCGGACCAAAGAUUUAUCGCCUUUGGAUGGGCCCGCGUUGGAUUAGCUAGUUGGUAGGGUAAAAGCCUACCAAGGCGACGAUCCAUAGCUGGUCUGAGAGGAUGAUCAGCCACACUGGGACUGAGACACGGCCCAGACGAGGGGGGGAGGCAGCGGUGGGGAAGAGUGGACAAGGGGCGACAGCGAGAGCCCGGAGGGGUGGGGGAGUGAGGCAGGCGGUAGGGGUGUAAAGCUCUUUUACGGGGAAUGAGAAAGACAGGAGCGGGAGAAGACGCUACGCCUAACGCGGCACAAGCGACCGGGAUAGACGGACCCGCACCCGUGUGAAC